AUGAGCACACAGAGAGCUCAGCUGGACACACACUUCAGUCCUCCAUCAAACACAACACACCUACACACUGUUUCCACCAGCUGCAGCACAGUCCAGUCUUUACAGUCAGGGAGGGCUUUUAUUUUGAAAGGCACCAUGCAGGAAGUUUCAGAGGAACAGAAGAAGAACCAAAGGAUGGUCUGUGAUGUUAAGGUUAGUGUGAUCAGCAUCAGCUGGAAAUAUGAAACAUAUCAAACAUGUGAGGAAGAAGCAGCAGCAGCUCACACGUUUACCACAACCACACACAGUCCUCUGAGAGCAGCGUGGCCUCCAUCUUUGAAACACACAAAAUCAAACGCACAAACUCACUGUUUGAUUAUUGAUUGAUUGAUUUUCAGAGAUAAGUAAUUAAAGUUUAUUUAUUAAGCACUUUUCACAGCGGUCACAAAGCGCUUCACACAAAAGGCUCAAAUAAACAUGAACAUUAAGUGAAAAAUAAAGAUUCAAUAAGACAGUAAAAUAAACAGAUAGUUUUAAAAUAAAUAAAUAAUAAAUCAAUAAAAUGUUUGUCAUUAGAAAGCCUGUAAAACAGAAACAUUUGAACUGCUUUUUUAAAGAAUCCACAGAGUGGACUAAACGUAGUUGUGGAGGCAGACUGUUCCACAGCCUUGGUGCCACAGACUGAAAGGCUCUGUCACACUUAGUCUUUAGUCGUGUACAGGGAACAACUAACACAUCAUGAGUCCGUGAACGGAGACAACGAGCAGCAUAUAUUUUGUAAGAAGUUGACAUAAAUAAUCUAGGACGUGAUCAUUUAGUGUUCUGUGUGUUAAAACAAGAAUUUUGAAACAAAUCGUAAAAUCUAUUGGGAGCCAAUAUAAAGAAAAUUAAAUAAGAGUAAUGUGAGCUUGCUUGGAGGUGAGAACAACAUGAUGUGUCCAGGCUGGUAAACAGGACAUUACAAUAAUCUAAACACGAUGACACAAAUGUAUGAACAGUUUUUUCCAGUUCAGCCGAGGAGACCAUAUGUCACAGUUAGAAAUGUUCCUUAAAUGAAAGAAACAGGAACGAGACAGAUUUUAUAUGUGAGUUGAAGCCCAGAGAAGAAUCAAAUAUUCCACCAAGGUUUU
Molecule: long non-coding RNA, 1109 nt
Filed under: Oreochromis niloticus (Nile tilapia)
Lineage: Eukaryota; Metazoa; Chordata; Actinopteri; Cichliformes; Cichlidae
Description: lncRNA (ENSONIG00000038792.1)
Source: RNAcentral